AUUGAACGCUGGCGGCAGGCCUAACACAUGCAAGUCGAACGAGUGGCGGACGGAUGUGUAAUGUCUGGGAAAGUGCCUGGUGGAGGGGGCUAACAAAUGGAAACUGUCACUCAUACCGCAUCCCAUAACAUGUGUCCAGAUGGGUUUGGAUAGGUGGUGGGGUAACGGAGCACCAAGACGACGAGCCCUAGCUGGUCUGAGAGGAUGACCAGCCACACUGGAACUGAGACACGGUCCAGACUCCUACGGGAGGCAGAAGUGGGGAAGAUUGCACAAUGGGCGCAAGCCUGAUGCAGCCAUGCCGCGUGUAUGAAGAAGGCCUUCGGGUUGUAAAGUACUUGCAGCUGGGAGGCGUUACCAGCAGAAGAAGCACCGGCUAACUCCGUGCCAGCAGCCGCGGUAAUUC
This 406-nucleotide ribosomal RNA is filed under the name uncultured bacterium. RNAcentral's name for it is "partial 16S ribosomal RNA". It matches the Rfam family "Bacterial small subunit ribosomal RNA", at positions 30 to 526 of the family's 1533-position model. The record is from RNAcentral.